GCCGAAGUGGCGAAACUGGUAGACGCGCUACAUUCAGGGUGUAGUGGGGGUAACCCCGUGGAGGUUCGAAUCCUCUCUUCGGCA
Molecule: non-coding RNA, 84 nt
Organism: Deltaproteobacteria bacterium
Lineage: Bacteria; Pseudomonadati; Myxococcota; Myxococcia
Source: Rfam